Molecule: ribosomal RNA, 301 nt
Filed under: uncultured bacterium
Lineage: Bacteria
Description: partial 16S ribosomal RNA
Rfam family: Bacterial small subunit ribosomal RNA
Source: RNAcentral
CAGCAGCCACGGUAAUACGUAGGGCGCAAGCGUUGUCCGGAAUUAUUGGGCGUAAAGAGCUCGUAGGCGGUCUGUCGCGUCUGGUGUGAAAUCCCGAGGCUCAACCUCGGGCUUGCAUCGGGUACGGGCAGACUAGAGUGCGGUAGGGGAGACUGGAAUUCCUGGUGUAGCGGUGGAAUGCGCAGAUAUCAGGAGGAACACCGAUGGCGAAGGCAGGUCUCUGGGCCGCAACUGACGCUGAGGAGCGAAAGCAUGGGGAGCGAACAGGAUUAGAUACCCCCGUAGUCCCUGUCUCUUAUAC